This 326-nucleotide ribosomal RNA is filed under the name uncultured Blastococcus sp. RNAcentral's name for it is "bacterial SSU rRNA". It matches the Rfam family "Bacterial small subunit ribosomal RNA", at positions 505 to 836 of the family's 1533-position model. Lineage: Bacteria; Bacillati; Actinomycetota; Actinomycetes; Geodermatophilales; Geodermatophilaceae. The record is from RNAcentral.
GUGCCAGCCGCUGCGGUAAUACGUAGGGUGCAAGCGUUGUCCGGAAUUAUUGGGCGUAAAGAGCUCGUAGGCGGUUUGUUGCGUCGGCUGUGAAAACCUGAGGCUCAACCUCAGGCCUGCAGUCGAUACGAGCAGACUAGAGUGUUGCAGGGGAGACUGGAAUUCCUGGUGUAGCGGUGAAAUGCGCAGAUAUCAGGAGGAACACCGGUGGCGAAGGCGGGUCUCUGGGCAACAACUGACGCUGAGAGCGAAAGCGUGGGAGCGAACAGGAUUAGAUACCUGGUAGUCCACGCCGUAACGUGGCGCUAGGUGUGGGCUCAUUCCAC